GGUUGAUGAAUGCAGGUGUUGACUUGUGUUCGUUGUUCCUCUUGCUGCUUGCUGCUAGAAGCCUUGUGAUCGGUUGUGGUCGGAGCUGCGGAUGGCUCUGCCCUCCAGAGGCUGCGCAAGCUGCUUUUUCUUCCAUGUUUUCAGGACCGUCCCCUGCCGGGCGGCUUGCAAUGUCGCUCCACUAGGAGCCUGUCCACCUCAUGGCCUGCCAUGACCGGGGUGCCUCUAGAGGCCAUUUGUGAGGCAGCUUCCUGGACGGCGCCGAGCACCUUUGCCAGAUUUAACAGAGUGAACGUCGCCACGCCUCAUCCCCUGUAGGGCAUACUGGAGCAACCGCCUUCUGCGUCCCGCUGAGUGGUCCAGUCAGAUGUUCAGAAGAUGGUGCUGGUUAAAGAAGAGGCUCCUGAUGAUCGGAGUCCUAAUGGGGACCAGCAGGAUUCAGAGUAUCUCCACAUAAAGGAGGAAUGGGAGGAACUCUGGAGCGGUCUGGAAGGAGAGCAACUAAGACUAAAGGAGGCCAACAGGUUUACAUCAACUGCAGUUCCUACAAAGAGUGAGGAUGAUGAAGAGAAACCUCUGUUCCUAUUGCUUCCUCAAGACCAAAGAGACAAAAAGUAUCUUCCAACCAGCAGCUCAGCUGCUCAGAUGAAAGCAGAAACUGAUGAAGAGGACUAUGGAGGAGUAGAAUCCAGCAGGAAGCCAGAUCUGAACACUCAUGGAGACACUUCCAACUCUUCAGAGACUGAAGACAGUGAGGAAGAUGAUGAAACUGUGAACCAUCCAGACUCGUCAGACUUUGGGUCUGGAACUGAACGA
Molecule: long non-coding RNA, 816 nt
Organism: Girardinichthys multiradiatus
Lineage: Eukaryota; Metazoa; Chordata; Actinopteri; Cyprinodontiformes; Goodeidae
Exons: 3
Source: RefSeq, a predicted model, not a curated record